GGCAUCACCCACUGUUAGCUCUGCCUCGAGAGUUCAGCUAUCACUAAGGUUGUCAUUGAUGCUGGUACCCUUUGGUCCUGAUCACUCUGUGAGCACAAAAUCUCUUAAAAAAAAAAAAAAA
Molecule: long non-coding RNA, 121 nt
Organism: Tupaia belangeri chinensis (Chinese tree shrew)
Lineage: Eukaryota; Metazoa; Chordata; Mammalia; Scandentia; Tupaiidae
Exons: 2
Source: RefSeq, a predicted model, not a curated record